Molecule: ribosomal RNA, 253 nt
Filed under: uncultured bacterium
Lineage: Bacteria
Description: partial 16S ribosomal RNA
Rfam family: Bacterial small subunit ribosomal RNA
Source: RNAcentral
UACGUAGGGCGCGAGCGUUGUCCGGAAUUACUGGGCGUAAAGCGCACGUAGGCGGGUUCUUAAGUCGGUGGUGAAAUCCUGGAGCUCAACUCCAGAACUGCCUUCGAUACUGGGAAUCUUGAGUCCGGGAGAGGUGAGUGGAACUGCGAGUGUAGAGGUGAAAUUCGUAGAUAUUCGCAAGAACACCAGUGGCGAAGGCGGCUCACUGGCCCGGUACUGACGCUGAGGUGCGAAAGCGUGGGGAGCAAACAGG